GGCUGCGUAGCUCAACUGAAUAGAGCAUCUGACUACGGAUCAGAAGGUUAGGAGUUUGAAUCUCUUCGCGGUCA
This 74-nucleotide transfer RNA is filed under the name Spirosomataceae bacterium. Its description in RNAcentral is "tRNA-Arg". It matches the Rfam family "tRNA". From Rfam's summary of the family: Transfer RNA (tRNA) molecules are approximately 80 nucleotides in length. Their secondary structure includes four short double-helical elements and three loops (D, anti-codon, and T loops). Further hydrogen bonds mediate the characteristic L-shaped molecular structure. tRNAs have two regions of fundamental functional importance: the anti-codon, which is responsible for specific mRNA codon recognition, and the 3' end, to which the tRNAs corresponding amino acid is attached (by aminoacyl-tRNA synthetases). tRNAs cope with the degeneracy of the genetic code in two manners: having more than one tRNA (with a specific anti-codon) for a particular amino acid; and 'wobble' base-pairing, i.e. permitting non-standard base-pairing at the 3rd anti-codon position. The record is from RNAcentral. Lineage: Bacteria; Pseudomonadati; Bacteroidota; Cytophagia; Cytophagales; Spirosomataceae.